This 3011-nucleotide ribosomal RNA is filed under the name Salmonella enterica. Its description in RNAcentral is "23S ribosomal RNA". It matches the Rfam family "Bacterial large subunit ribosomal RNA". Lineage: Bacteria; Pseudomonadati; Pseudomonadota; Gammaproteobacteria; Enterobacterales; Enterobacteriaceae. RNAcentral also lists the same sequence under 1 other name. The record is from RNAcentral.
GGGUUGUGAGGUUAAGCGACUAAGCGUACACGGUGGAUGCCCUGGCAGUCAGAGGCGAUGAAGGGCGUGCUAAUCUGCGAUAAGCGCCGGUAAGGUGAUAUGAACCGUUAUAACCGGCGAUACCCGAAUGGGGAAACCCAGUGUGAUUCGUCACACUAUCAUUAACUGAAUCCAUAGGUUAAUGAGGCGAACCGGGGGAACUGAAACAUCUAAGUACCCCGAGGAAAAGAAAUCAACCGAGAUUCCCCCAGUAGCGGCGAGCGAACGGGGAGGAGCCCAGAGCCUGAAUCAGCAUGUGUGUUAGUGGAAGCGUCUGGAAAGGCGCGCGAUACAGGGUGACAGCCCCGUACACAAAAGCGCAUGUGCUGUGAGCUCGAUGAGUAGGGCGGGACACGUGGUAUCCUGUCUGAAUAUGGGGGGACCAUCCUCCAAGGCUAAAUACUCCUGACUGACCGAUAGUGAACCAGUACCGUGAGGGAAAGGCGAAAAGAACCCCGGCGAGGGGAGUGAAAAAGAGCCUGAAACCGUGUACGUACAAGCAGUGGGAGCACCCUUCGGGGUGUGACUGCGUACCUUUUGUAUAAUGGGUCAGCGACUUAUAUUCUGUAGCAAGGUUAACCGUAUAGGGGAGCCGGAGGGAAACCGAGUCUUAACCGGGCGUUAAGUUGCAGGGUAUAGACCCGAAACCCGGUGAUCUAGCCAUGGGCAGGUUGAAGGUUGGGUAACACUAACUGGAGGACCGAACCGACUAAUGUUGAAAAAUUAGCGGAUGACCUGUGGCUGGGGGUGAAAGGCCAAUCAAACCGGGAGAUAGCUGGUUCUCCCCGAAAGCUAUUUAGGUAGCGCCUCGUGAAUUCAUCUCCGGGGGUAGAGCACUGUUUCGGCUAGGGGGCCAUCCCGGCUUACCAACCCGAUGCAAACUGCGAAUACCGGAGAAUGUUAUCACGGGAGACACACGGCGGGUGCUAACGUCCGUCGUGAAGAGGGAAACAACCCAGACCGCCAGCUAAGGUCCCAAAGUCAUGGUUAAGUGGGAAACGAUGUGGGAAGGCCCAGACAGCCAGGAUGUUGGCUUAGAAGCAGCCAUCAUUUAAAGAAAGCGUAAUAGCUCACUGGUCGAGUCGGCCUGCGCGGAAGAUGUAACGGGGCUAAACCAUGCACCGAAGCUGCGGCAGCGAACGUAUCACCCAAGACAACUUUACGGAGUUGACGAUUGACGGAGCGAAGCGACGUCAAAGCGUUCAUUAAAGUCGAGUUGGCUUAGGGAUACGUUCGUUGGGUAGGGGAGCGUUCUGUAAGCCUGUGAAGGUGUGUCGUGAGGCAUGCUGGAGGUAUCAGAAGUGCGAAUGCUGACAUAAGUAACGAUAAAGCGGGUGAAAAGCCCGCUCGCCGGAAGACCAAGGGUUCCUGUCCAACGUUAAUCGGGGCAGGGUGAGUCGACCCCUAAGGCGAGGCCGAAAGGCGUAGUCGAUGGGAAACGGGUUAAUAUUCCCGUACUUGGUGUUACUGCGAAGGGGGGACGGAGAAGGCUAUGUUGGCCGGGCGACGGUUGUCCCGGUUUAAGCGUGUAGGUGUGUGUUCCAGGUAAAUCCGGUUCACUUUAACACUGAGGCGUGACGACGAGGCACUACGGUGCUGAAGCAACAAAUGCCCUGCUUCCAGGAAAAGCCUCUAAGCAUCAGGUAACAUCAAAUCGUACCCCAAACCGACACAGGUGGUCAGGUAGAGAAUACCAAGGCGCUUGAGAGAACUCGGGUGAAGGAACUAGGCAAAAUGGUGCCGUAACUUCGGGAGAAGGCACGCUGACACGUAGGUGAAGUGAUUUACUCAUGGAGCUGAAGUCAGUCGAAGAUACCAGCUGGCUGCAACUGUUUAUUAAAAACACAGCACUGUGCAAACACGAAAGUGGACGUAUACGGUGUGACGCCUGCCCGGUGCCGGAAGGUUAAUUGAUGGGGUCAGCGCAAGCGAAGCUCCUGAUCGAAGCCCCGGUAAACGGCGGCCGUAACUAUAACGGUCCUAAGGUAGCGAAAUUCCUUGUCGGGUAAGUUCCGACCUGCACGAAUGGCGUAAUGAUGGCCAGGCUGUCUCCACCCGAGACUCAGUGAAAUUGAACUCGCUGUGAAGAUGCAGUGUACCCGCGGCAAGACGGAAAGACCCCGUGAACCUUUACUAUAGCUUGACACUGAACAUUGAGCCUUGAUGUGUAGGAUAGGUGGGAGGCUUUGAAGUGUGGACGCCAGUCUGCAUGGAGCCGACCUUGAAAUACCACCCUUUAAUGUUUGAUGUUCUAACGUGGACCCGUAAUCCGGGUUGCGGACAGUGUCUGGUGGGUAGUUUGACUGGGGCGGUCUCCUCCUAAAGAGUAACGGAGGAGCACGAAGGUUGGCUAAUCCUGGUCGGACAUCAGGAGGUUAGUGCAAUGGCAUAAGCCAGCUUGACUGCGAGCGUGACGGCGCGAGCAGGUGCGAAAGCAGGUCAUAGUGAUCCGGUGGUUCUGAAUGGAAGGGCCAUCGCUCAACGGAUAAAAGGUACUCCGGGGAUAACAGGCUGAUACCGCCCAAGAGUUCAUAUCGACGGCGGUGUUUGGCACCUCGAUGUCGGCUCAUCACAUCCUGGGGCUGAAGUAGGUCCCAAGGGUAUGGCUGUUCGCCAUUUAAAGUGGUACGCGAGCUGGGUUUAGAACGUCGUGAGACAGUUCGGUCCCUAUCUGCCGUGGGCGCUGGAGAACUGAGGGGGGCUGCUCCUAGUACGAGAGGACCGGAGUGGACGCAUCACUGGUGUUCGGGUUGUCAUGCCAAUGGCACUGCCCGGUAGCUAAAUGCGGAAGAGAUAAGUGCUGAAAGCAUCUAAGCACGAAACUUGCCCCGAGAUGAGUUCUCCCUGAGACUUAGAGUCUCCUGAAGGAACGUUGAAGACGACGACGUUGAUAGGCCGGGUGUGUAAGCGCAGCGAUGCGUUGAGCUAACCGGUACUAAUGAACCGUGAGGCUUAACCUUACAACGCCGAAG